RNAcentral lists this long non-coding RNA (283 nucleotides) under Gossypium barbadense (sea-island cotton). RNAcentral describes it as "long non-coding RNA (GBAR_LNC014765)". The record is from RNAcentral. Lineage: Eukaryota; Viridiplantae; Streptophyta; Magnoliopsida; Malvales; Malvaceae.
GUAGAUAUAUUUGCCUAAGUUGGUGGAUAGAGACAAAAGUUAAAAUAGACGAUUCGGAAAAAGAAUUACAAAUAAAGGAUAAAGUGAUUGAGAGGACAAGUAAUGACAAGAACAAAAUUUCAUUAAAGAAAAGAUACAAAGAAAACUAAGCAUUUUUAUCCGCCGAGUGAGUUGCCGCCUCAAUGGUGUCUUCACCUCCUUUUGGUUAGUCUUUUAAAAAUAGUAGAAUUGACUACGCUUGAUUCUUGAAAAUGAAAAAGUUGUCGAAUUCCUUUCGUCCUCA